This is a long non-coding RNA of Cyanistes caeruleus (blue tit), 1793 nucleotides long. The record is from Ensembl. NCBI's taxonomy places the organism in Eukaryota, Metazoa, Chordata, Aves, Passeriformes, Paridae.
AUGCAGGCUGAGGGAUGCCUUUUCCCAGUGGGAUGUUGUGGAAGGAGGCACAGAGAGGUGGGAGAUGCACAAUUCCUGCUCCCAGCACGAGGGGCACUGGGAAAUCCAAAAUCUUGGGCUUGUGGCCGAUGCCUCAUGGCCCAUCAUCACCCUGGUGGUGUUCCCAGUGGAUGUGGCAUCCUUGGGAAGCAGGAAAAUCCCAGAAUUGGGGUGCAGUGCCUUGCAGUGAGAUGUAAAUGUUGCUUUUGUGUGUUCCAGAAGCGAGUGUGCAGACUGCUGGACACCAUCCCACGGGAGGCUGCUGCCCAGCUCAGGGACUGUGCCAUGGACCUGGAUUCCAGGCAGAAAUUCCUCCCUGGCUCUGCUCCCUGGGCUGCAAAGACAAAGCAGAAUUCCACAGUUUUGGAAAAUCAUGGGAACAGAGGCAUUUCCCAGCCCUGCCCGAGAUGUGUUGCUGGAGAAUCUGGCCACUUCAGUCACAUCCUGGGCUUCUAGAAACGGAGCUGGGGCAGAGGAGCAGCCCUGAAUUCCUGCUGGGAGCCUGAGGAUGCAGCUGGAUCCUGGAUCCUGCCCUGGGGACACUCAGGCCUCCUUUAGCUGAUGUUUUACACCUGUUCAAAACUCUGCUGCUCCUCAGGGAGCUCAGAAUUCAUUUAAAAAUGACAAGAAAAGGCUGAUUUCAUGUUUAGAUAGCUCAGAAUUGUCUAAAAAGGACAAAAAAAGGCUGAUUUCAUGUUUAGAUAGCUCAGAAGGACAAGAAAAGGCUGAUUUCAUGUUUAGAUAGCUCAGAAUUGUCUAAAAAGGACAAAAAAAGGCUGAUUUCAUGUUUAGAUAGCUCAGAAUUGUCUAAAAAGGACAAAAAAAGGCUGAUUUCGUGUUUAGAUAGCUCAGAAUUUUCUAAAAAGGACAAGAAAAGGCUGAUUUUGUGUUUAGGUAGCUCAAAAUUCAUUUAAAAAUGACAAGAAAAGGCUGAUUUCAUGUUUAGGUAGCCCAGAAUUGUCUAAAAAGGACAAAAAAAGGCUGAUUUUGUGUUUAGAUAGCUCAGAAUUUAUCUAAAAAGGACAAAAAAAGGCUGAUUUCAUGUUUAGGUAGCUCAGAAUUCAUUUAAAAAGGACAAGAAAAGGCUGAUUUCAUGUUUAGAUAGCUCAGAAUUGUCUAAAAAGGACAAAAAAAGGCUGAUUUCAUGUUUAGAUAGCUCAGAAUUGUCUAAAAAGGACAAAAAAAGGCUGAUUUCAUGUUUAGAUAGCUCAGAAUUGUCUAAAAAAGAACAAAAAAAGGCUGAUUUCAUGUUUUGGACUGGUUAAGUUGAGCUGGCCUUGGGCCCAGGCUUCACCUGGGGCUGGGCCAGGGGCUGUUUUGAUUCCAAAGGUUUUCCCAACAGUCCUGGAUCCCUUGGAAAAUGCUCCUUUGGAAAACCCUCCUUGUGCAGGGCCACAGGCAGGAAUGGGAGGACACAAAUUUUAGUUUUUAAGUGGCUUUGCAGCUGUGAAAUCCAGGAAAAAUCCCAUUGAAGCUUACAUUUAAAUUCCCCCCCCCAAAAAAAAUCUGUUUAAAAAGGCUUGACCUCAUCAUCCAGCAGGUUUUUUCUGGCACUAAUUUAAUGACAGGUUAAUUAACCUCUGAAAGGUGAAUUUUGGGGGUUAUCAGGCUGCAGAAUCCUCAGGCAAAGGUUUUUUUGCAGUCCUUGAAUCCUUCCCACGUUGUGUGUGCAGCUGGAGCUGGCACUGAAUUGUGUUCUUAAGGAGAUAUUCUCAUUAAAUAAAGGAAUAUCACAUAAAUACUGAAUUUAACUA